GCCCUGAGGUGUUCUACACAUCAGAUUGCAAAUCUGAAGUCGCAGCCUAACAUCUGCCGGGGCUU
RNAcentral lists this transfer RNA (65 nucleotides) under Geophagus brasiliensis (pearl cichlid). RNAcentral describes it as "tRNA-Cys". The record is from RNAcentral. Lineage: Eukaryota; Metazoa; Chordata; Actinopteri; Cichliformes; Cichlidae.